AGCAGAGUAGAAAUGUGUGCGUUAAGUGCCGGCUGGACGGGGAGUUGCCAGCCAGAUGAAGGAGAAGUGUCCGCGGUACAUAUUUCGCAUCCCGCUGCU
Molecule: non-coding RNA, 99 nt
Organism: Dorea sp. CAG:317
Lineage: Bacteria; Bacillati; Bacillota; Clostridia; Lachnospirales; Lachnospiraceae
Source: Rfam